CAGCCGCCGCGGUAAUACGAAGGGGGCUAGCGUUGCUCGGAAUUACUGGGCGUAAAGGGAGCGUAGGCGGACAUUUAAGUCAGGGGUGAAAUCCCGGGGCUCAACCUCGGAAUUGCCUUUGAUACUGGGUGUCUUGAGUAUGAGAGAGGUAUGUGGAACUCCGAGUGUAGAGGUGAAAUUCGUAGAUAUUCGGAAGAACACCAGUGGCGAAGGCGACAUACUGGCUCAUUACUGACGCUGAGGCUCGAAAGCGUGGGGAGCAAACAGGAUUAGAGACCCCCGUAGUCCCUGUCUCUUAUAU
RNAcentral lists this ribosomal RNA (301 nucleotides) under uncultured bacterium. Its description in RNAcentral is "partial 16S ribosomal RNA". It matches the Rfam family "Bacterial small subunit ribosomal RNA", at positions 509 to 809 of the family's 1533-position model. The record is from RNAcentral.